RNAcentral lists this ribosomal RNA (257 nucleotides) under uncultured bacterium. Its description in RNAcentral is "partial 16S ribosomal RNA". It matches the Rfam family "Bacterial small subunit ribosomal RNA", at positions 524 to 776 of the family's 1533-position model. The record is from RNAcentral.
UACGUAGGGGGGCAAGCGUUGUCCGGAUUUAUUGGGCGUAAAGAGCGUGUAGGCGGCCAUACAGGUCAGCUGUGAAAACUCGAGGCUCAACCUCGAGACGUCGGUUGAAAACCGUAUGGCUAGAGUCCGGAAGAGGAGAGUGGAAUUCCCCGGUGUAGCGGUGAAAUGCGCAGAUAUCGGGAAGAACACCCGUGGCGAAGGCGGCUCUCUGGGCCUUACCUGACGCUGAGGAGCGAAAAGCGUGGGUAGCGAACAGG